CACACAGGCGGCUGUGCAGGACACACACCCGCGGCAGCGCACUGCAGAAGGCUCCGGGGAGAAGCCACUCGCUGCGGUGCCACCAGGAGCAGCGCGGUGCUCAGCCGUGCCGCCUCCUGCACCGGGCUCUCCAGACACGGGCUGCACUCGGAGCACGCGAUGCUCCCGAGGAGCUUCAGGAACGGCUCACGAGCCACGACAGGUACUGUGCAAGUGACACCAUCACGCACAGCCCACGUGCACAAGCGAUACCCGUGACCAGAUGCAGCAGCGCUGCCCGUCCCACUGCAACACCAGCCACGAGAAAUACGGUCAUAGUGUGACGGGAGCGAGACGGGAAACAGGGAACGGCUACACCUCCUGCAAAGUAACAGCAUAACUAGGUUCUUCCAGCAACGCUAUCGAAUGAUUUUCUGCGGCAAACACCCAACGUGUCGCCCAUGUCCCGGCUCAGCCCCUGGACCCACCUGCUGCCGCUUCCAGCCUCCCAGCCUGCAGGAACCAAGCGCUUCCCACAAAGCCACGUAAAACCCUCAACAACCUCUAAGCACCUUCAAACCUUGUGCCAACCAAAGCAGCUACCUGGGGAGCCCCUGGAGAGACAGAGGCCAGCGCUGCAAAUAAACACCACAGAAAGACUUUCAAAGGAGGAAUAAAGGAGGAAAAACCCCCCAGCUCUUGUGUUUGAGGGCUGGCCAGGGAUCAGCGGGGACUUCUGAACCCCGGGGUCAGCAGAACACAGAACCUCUGCCUAAACUCCCACUAUUCCUAACUAAAACACUUCUAAUCUCUUUCUCGAGGGCAACACUUAGUACACACUCAGAGGCGCCAAAAUGUCACCCAAGGUCCCCCCAACAAGCCUGGGCCAUGCUGGAGUCAAACAAACCUCCUGCCCGGCCUCCUGCUCACACAAACAUCCCAACCCUUUUGAGGCAUUUCUUUACAGUUACGUUCCCUGCGCAAGUUUAUUAAAAAAAGUGUGGUUUAUGGAUUUAAUUAAAGUACCGCAUAUGAGACCUUGCUAAUCCUGUUCAUGCUGCAACUGUAUUAAAGCGCUAAAAAUCAAUAUAUUUGAGCUUAAAUAUUUUAUUAUGGCAAGCUGUUAAAUAUUAAUGACGUAACAAGCAAUCAGUGUCACCAUUUCUGCCUCUUCCAUAGGAAACGUGCAGGAAGUUAGAAAAAAAAGGAGCAAUAUCUCUGCUUGGUUUGAUGGCCGGGCAGCUGGGUUUUCCUCAGUCCACAAAACAAAUGUCACCGGUGAUUCACGCAAGUCACAAAAGCACCUUCCCCUGGCUGCUCCCCCUUGUCACAGGGGAUGGGGACACGGGGCAGCAGAGUGGUGGCAGGGACCUGCUGGAAAAGCAGCGCUGUGCUGCUCCAAAGGUCACCGCCCGC
Molecule: long non-coding RNA, 1395 nt
Organism: Columba livia (rock pigeon)
Lineage: Eukaryota; Metazoa; Chordata; Aves; Columbiformes; Columbidae
Exons: 3
Source: RefSeq, a predicted model, not a curated record